RNAcentral lists this ribosomal RNA (201 nucleotides) under uncultured bacterium. RNAcentral's name for it is "partial 16S ribosomal RNA". It matches the Rfam family "Bacterial small subunit ribosomal RNA", at positions 326 to 538 of the family's 1533-position model. The record is from RNAcentral.
ACGCUCGACACCUACGGGAAGCAGCAGUCGGGAAUAUUGCGCAAUGGAGGGAACUCUGACGCAGUGACGCCGCGUAUAGGAAGAAGGUUUUCGGAUUGUAAACUAUUGUCGUUAGGGAAGAGAAAGGACAGUACCUAAGGAGGAAGCUCCGGCUAACUGCGUGCCCGACAGCCGCGGUAAUCUGAGCGGGCGUGGCAAGGC